This is a long non-coding RNA of Herpailurus yagouaroundi (jaguarundi), 2635 nucleotides long. RefSeq lists it as uncharacterized. The transcript has 2 exons. The record is from RefSeq and is a predicted model, not a curated record. NCBI's taxonomy places the organism in Eukaryota, Metazoa, Chordata, Mammalia, Carnivora, Felidae.
CACGCGCACACACACACACGCGCAUGCACGCACACGCACACACACGCCGGGGCAUUUUAACAGCCAUGCCCCAAACGAAGAGUGUGAAAACUGCACCAAAAACUGGUUACGGGCGUGCUAUGAAGACCUGAUAGGAGGUACUCCACCAACACACACACGCACACGCACGCACACACACCGGCAGCCCGUAAAACACCGAUAUUCUCUAAUGUGGUUUUUCGGGUGGCUGUAGAUUUUGCCAAACAGCUUUCCUCCAGAAGCACUACUUUGCUGUGCUCACAAAAGGACCUCAUUCCCGCGGCGCGUGAAUGAAUCCCGACCCCCGAUCCGCCACCAUUCAUGCAUCCCCCAGCCGAGCUGUUUACUUAAUCCAUAGAGAGCGGUGGCCGCGCUCCCCCGGCCUCAGCGAAACUCAGUGCUCCAGCUCGCUGGACGCGCUGCUCGGGAAAGAACAUUCCAUCCCCCUCAGCUUCUUCCUCCAUUAAACUGAGAAUUGAAUGUGUGUUAGUGAGUUUUGGGAUUUACCCGUGUUUUCUUCCAAUUCCUCAAGACCCCUCCGUAUUUUUAUGAAGAAACAGAAAACAUGAAGCAGACGUUACGCUACGGACAUCAAUCAGCACAUCUUUGUAUGAUUAGCUGUCAGUCCACAUUGGAACGAACUGCCGUCUAAAUACAGGCUUAAACCAAAAAAUUAAUACUUUAAGAAAGGGUUAGUGUGCUCCAUUUAUCAGUAAGAUCCAGUAAAGAAUGUAUUCUCACCUCAAUCUGUGAUUCAAAAACAGUCAUUUCUUUUUCCUAUGUAGCAUACUCCUUUUACCUUGACUUUUGUCACUUUUUACAUCUAAUGCUACCUAUGGUAAGGGGAACACAGCUCAUCAACCUCUCGGUGGAUACUUUUCCUUCUCUGUUUUCAUUACCAUCUAACACAUUCAUCAUCGUACAUGGAAAUGUCUGGUGUUACUCAACGCUUAAGUCUCUACCCCAUAGGGUUCUUUUCUUUCAGGCAUGAUGGCUCCUCUAAAAUCGUGACUCACAAACAUUCUAUUACAACAUGACUAUCACAACCAACAUUUCUGUUCUUCCCUGAGUGAUCAACAUGUUCACCCUUUCAUUAGGACGUUAGCAAGGUACCCUAGAAACUGUUUAAACAUUUCUUUGACACGGCCUAAAUUUCAAAGUUAUUUCAGGGUUUUGCAAAUCUCUUUAGUAAAAUUGGGUCAAAAAACAGAACAAUAGAUAUUUUGUGGGGCUCCAAAAGCCUUCGGAGCUCUUAAGCAAAUAUCUUCCUAAGUCAUAAUAUUGUGAACAUGAUCGUUUCACAGAUCAGGGUGAUGUGUGUGACUCUUCCUGUGUGUGUGUGUGUGGGGGGGGGUGUUGCUUGAGGUAAUUGCCAAUAAACACUACAUAACUAUUUAGGCCAUUCAACUGGACUCUUAGAGCAAUUAAAUAGGUAAAACACUGCACAGCUGCAAUUUUUCAGGACCUGCAGGUCUUGUCCACGUUUCAGAUACGUACCCCUGGAUUUUCGAUGACACAAAUUAGCAGAUGUGGAUUUGAAUAAGAACAUUAGAGGACACAAAGGGGAACACUCUAGUGGGAGGAAUGAAAGGUUUUAAAAUCUUAAAUCCCUGUGUGGGCCAAGACGAAUCUCAAGAAGAUUGAUAUUUGGCCUCCUCAUCUCCCCAGAUAAAUGCUAUGUAAAUCGGUCACUGAUUGAUUGAUAGCAUUUAUUAAAAUUCCAGUUUACAAUGCUAAUUAAGCAAUGCCCAUUUAUAAGUAUCAGAUACAGGGAGGUCAAUUCUUAUACUGGACAAUACUGGAAUAUUCUACGCGUAUAUCUAGUCCUACCUUUUCUGGACACAAAGCUAAUUAUUUCCAAAUUGCACAAAGACGGUGUCCCUUGAGAAUAAUCAAGGGCUUACUUUGAACAGAGCUGCGCAGCAGCGGCAGCAGCCCAUGCGGAAGAAGAGGGACAGACGUGGUUUUAAACAGUUUCUAUCGCUGAAUAGGGAAGGAUGGUUUCCACAUACGUCUUCCCGAGAAAAGACAAGUUUUGUGACCACUCCCACCCAUACGUUAAAUCACUGCCAUCUUGGAAAUAAAGGAGUCUAAUACAGAGUUCGAGAGAGACACAGAAUAAGGCCCACAUGAAACUUCUGUGUACUAUAGUUUGCCAUCUUGAUGAUGUCAGGAAUAAUUAGCAUUAUGGAUACUGCCUUUUAUAACUUAAGCAUUUCUUGUCUAAGAUCUGCAGAAUUCCCCACAGUUCUCUGAGCAGACACUAUUAAAUAUGUUGAAUUAUGUGGCUAUUUUAUGUUGUGAAUAAAUAACCACAUGGAAUCAUGCUUGCGCUAUUAAAUGAAUUUUACUUAUAACUGAAUUCAGUUCUUUAGGCAUAAAAGCCUAAUGACUGCACACCACAAGGAAGAUUUUUAAAAAUGCAUGAACCAAACCAAAUCAAAGCAAAUUGUAUUUAAAAAAAAAAAAAAAAGAAGCCCAUGAAUGAGCUGUUACUUCAAACUGGCACCGACUUAGCUUUAAUAUUAAGACUUCUUCUCACCUCUUUCUACUUAGGCCCCAACCCUUGGAAAAAAACAAAACAAAACAAAAAAAAAACCCAGAGUUUAACCAAAAC